UCGAUUAAGCCAUGCGAGUCGAGAGUCUUAGGGACUCGGCGUACCGCUCAGUAACACGUGGGUAACCUGCCCUGUGCUGGGGAAUAACCUCGGGAAACUGAGAAUAAUGCCCCAUAGUUCACCACGCCUGGAACGGUGGGUGGAUCAAAGCUCCGGCGGCACAGGAUGGGCCUGCGGCGUAUCAGGUCGUAGGGGGUGUAAUGUACCCUCUAGCCUUCAACGCGUACGGGUUGUGGGAGCAAUCGCCCGGAGAUGGAUUCUGAGACACGAAUCCAGACCCUACGGGGUGCAGCAGGCGCGAAAACUUCACACUGCAGGAAACUGUGAUGAGGGAAUUCCAAGUGGCCAGACAAAGUCUGGUCUUUUACCAACUUUUAAUCGGUUGGUGAAUAAGGGGUGGGAAAGACCGGUGCCAGCCGCCGCGGUAAUACCGGCACCUCAAGUGGUCGUCGCUUUUAUUGGGCCUAAAACGUCCGUCGCCUGUUUGGUACAUUCGUGGGUAAAUCAAGCCGCUUAACGGCUUGAAUUCUGCGAGGACGGCCAGACUAGGGACCGGGAGAGGUAUGGGGUACUCUCAGGGUAGGGGUAAAAUCCAGUCAUCCUGAGGGGACCACCUGUUGCGAAGGCGCCAUACUAGAACGGAUCCGACGGUCAGGGACGAAGCCUAGGGGCACGAACCGGAUUAGAUACCCGGGUAGUCCUA
This 703-nucleotide ribosomal RNA is filed under the name uncultured euryarchaeote ME-450_38. RNAcentral describes it as "bacterial SSU rRNA". It matches the Rfam family "Archaeal small subunit ribosomal RNA", at positions 40 to 749 of the family's 1478-position model. The record is from RNAcentral. Lineage: Archaea; Methanobacteriati; Methanobacteriota.